This 506-nucleotide ribosomal RNA is filed under the name uncultured bacterium. RNAcentral describes it as "bacterial SSU rRNA". It matches the Rfam family "Bacterial small subunit ribosomal RNA", at positions 29 to 524 of the family's 1533-position model. The record is from RNAcentral.
AGUGAACGCUGGCGGCAGGCCUAAUACAUGCAAGUCGAACGGCAGCACAGCAGAGCUUGCUCUGUGGGUGACGAGUGGCGGACGGGUGAGGAAUACGUGGGAAUCUGCCCAGUCGUGGGGGAUAACGUAGGGAAACUUACGCUAAUACCGCACGCGCCCUUCGGGGGAAAGCCGGGGACCUUCGGGCCUGGCGCGAUUGGAUGAGCCCACGUCGGAUUAGCUAGUUGGCGGGGUAAAGGCCCACCAAGGCGACGAUCCGUAGCUGGUCUGAGAGGAUGAUCAGCCACACUGGAACUGAGACACGGUCCAGACUCCUACGGGAGGCAGCAGUAGGGAAUAUUGGACAAUGGGCGCAAGCCUGAUCCAGCCAUGCCGCGUGAGUGAAGAAGGCCCUCGGGUUGUAAAGCUCUUUUGUCCGGAAAGAAAGCGCCGGGUUAAUACCCUGGUGUCCUGACGGUACCGGAAGAAUAAGCACCGGCUAACUUCGUGCCAGCAGCCGCGGUAAU